This 253-nucleotide ribosomal RNA is filed under the name uncultured bacterium. Its description in RNAcentral is "partial 16S ribosomal RNA". It matches the Rfam family "Bacterial small subunit ribosomal RNA", at positions 524 to 776 of the family's 1533-position model. The record is from RNAcentral.
UACAGAGGUGGCAAGCGUUGUUCGGAAUUACUGGGCGUAAAGGGCGCGUAGGCGGCCUUCUAAGUCAGACGUGAAAUCCCCCGGCUUAACCUGGGAACUGCGUCUGAUACUGGGAGGCUUGAGUAUGGGAGAGGGAAGUAGAAUUCCAGGUGUAGCGGUGAAAUGCGUAGAUAUCUGGAGGAAUACCGGUGGCGAAGGCGGUUCUCUGGGCCGGUACUGACGCUGAGGAGCGAAAGCGUGGGGAGCGAACAGG